Molecule: long non-coding RNA, 804 nt
Organism: Mercenaria mercenaria
Lineage: Eukaryota; Metazoa; Mollusca; Bivalvia; Venerida; Veneridae
Exons: 5
Source: RefSeq, a predicted model, not a curated record
AUUUCACGUGAAAACGGCCGAAAACUGAGAGGUUAUCAACAAAUUAUAAAGUUACGGGUACCAUGAGAAUUUUUCAUGCAUUUAAACAACAGAAGAACAAGCGAACAAAUUGACACAUUACAGUGGCUGCAGAAGCUUGAAAAGUUACAUAGAGCAGGGACAGUCAAACCAAAGGGAUAAUGCUUCUAUGUUAUUUCUUUUGAAAAGGAAAUUUAUACAGGAUUGAAGGGGUAUCCUACAUGUCUAGUCAGGUUAACAGAAGUGGAAGAUGGUCUAGUAUUAUAAUGAUGUACGAAUGAUACUCUUUGAUAAGUUUAACAUGUCGAAGUGUAAAAUGUUCUGUGGAUUCAUAUGACGAUAAUGCCAGUGUUGAUCUGUAUGAUUUAAUUAAACACAGAUACUGAUACCUUCAGAUAUGCCUGUGAAAUCUUCAGUGUCACCAUUCAGGUAUGGUUCAAGAUCAGUGUCUGCAACUUGCACAUAUUAGUAUAGCGGAGCCUACUGAAUCAAUUUGAUACAUAUCAGCUCUUAUUGUAGGACACAAUGUAGAGAGCAGCAAGUCCUGUCUAGCCGUUCAUGUAAAUGUGAUUCAGAAACUCUGAAAAUAUAUAAACAUUACGCUGUUAUAAUUUUCAAAAUACUGUGUCUUGUAGUGUAUCAAUACUGUUUUGUCUCAGUUUAUAGCAUAGUAUGUUCACAAAUCAAACUUAAGAUCAUAGUGAUCAGUAUUAUUAAAAUCAUUAAUUAUUUGUAUGGUGACAAAAUUCAAUUUCAUGCAAUAUCACAGUAAAACGUUUGAUAAUU